RNAcentral lists this ribosomal RNA (521 nucleotides) under uncultured bacterium. Its description in RNAcentral is "bacterial SSU rRNA". It matches the Rfam family "Bacterial small subunit ribosomal RNA", at positions 988 to 1509 of the family's 1533-position model. The record is from RNAcentral.
CCAGAGAACUUAGCAGAGAUGCUUUGGUGCCUUCGGGAACUCUGAGACAGGUGCUGCAUGGCUGUCGUCAGCUCGUGUUGUGAAAUGUCGGGUUAAGUCCCGCAACGAGCGCAACCCUUAUCCUUUGUUGCCAGCGGCUCGGCCGGGAACUCAAAGGAGACUGCCGGUGAUAAACCGGAGGAAGGUGGGGAUGACGUCAAGUCAUCAUGGCCCUUACGGCCAGGGCUACACACGUGCUACAAUGGCGCAUACAAAGAGAAGCGACCUCGCGAGAGCAAGCGGACCUCAUAAAGUGCGUCGUAGUCCGGAUUGGAGUCUGCAACUCGACUCCAUGAAGUCGGAAUCGCUAGUAAUCGUAGAUCAGAAUGCUACGGUGAAUACGUUCCCGGGCCUUGUACACACCGCCCGUCACACCAUGGGAGUGGGUUGCAAAAGAAGUAGGUAGCUUAACCUUCGGGAGGGCGCUCACCACUUUGUGAUUCAUGACUGGGGUGAAGUCGUAACAAGGUAGGCGUACUACA